RNAcentral lists this ribosomal RNA (1341 nucleotides) under uncultured bacterium. Its description in RNAcentral is "16S ribosomal RNA". It matches the Rfam family "Bacterial small subunit ribosomal RNA", at positions 28 to 1381 of the family's 1533-position model. The record is from RNAcentral.
GACGAACGCUGGCGGCGUGCUUAACACAUGCAAGUCGAACGGUAAGGCUCCAGCUUGCUGGGGUACACGAGUGGCGAACGGGUGAGUAACACGUGGGUGACCUGCCCUGCACUUCGGGAUAAGCCUGGGAAACUGGGUCUAAUACCGGAUAGGACCGCACCGUGAGGGUGUGGUGGAAAGUUUUUUCGGUGUGGGAUGGGCCCGCGGCCUAUCAGCUUGUUGGUGGGGUAAUGGCCUACCAAGGCGGCGACGGGUAGCCGGCCUGAGAGGGUGGACGGCCACAUUGGGACUGAGACACGGCCCAGACUCCUACGGGAGGCAGCAGUGGGGAAUAUUGCACAAUGGGCGGAAGCCUGAUGCAGCGACGCCGCGUGGGGGAUGACGGCCUUCGGGUUGUAAACUCCUUUCACCAGCGACGAAGGGUUUCUGACGGUAGAUGGAGAAGAAGCACCGGCUAACUACGUGCCAGCAGCCGCGGUAAUACGUAGGGUGCGAGCGUUGUCCGGAAUUACUGGGCGUAAAGAGCUCGUAGGUGGUUUGUCGCGUCGUCUGUGAAAUUCCGGGGCUUAACUCCGGGCGUGCAGGCGAUACGGGCAUAACUUGAGUACUGUAGGGGAGACUGGAAUUCCUGGUGUAGCGGUGAAAUGCGCAGAUAUCAGGAGGAACACCGGUGGCGAAGGCGGGUCUCUGGGCAGUAACUGACGCUGAGGAGCGAAAGCAUGGGGAGCGAACAGGAUUAGAUACCCUGGUAGUCCAUGCCGUAAACGGUGGGCGCUAGGUGUGGGUUUCCUUCCACGGGAUCCGCGCCGUAGCUAACGCAUUAAGCGCCCCGCCUGGGGAGUACGGCCGCAAGGCUAAAACUCAAAGGAAUUGACGGGGGCCCGCACAAGCGGCGGAGCAUGUGGAUUAAUUCGAUGCAACGCGAAGAACCUUACCUGGGCUUGACAUAUACAGGAUCGCGCCAGAGAUGGUGUUUCCCUUGUGGCUUGUAUACAGGUGGUGCAUGGUUGUCGUCAGCUCGUGUCGUGAGAUGUUGGGUUAAGUCCCGCAACGAGCGCAACCCUUGUCUUAUGUUGCCAGCACGUUGUGGUGGGGACUCGUAAGAAACUGCCGGGGUUAACUCGGAGGAAGGUGGGGAUGACGUCAAAUCAUCAUGCCCCUUAUGUCCAGGGCUUCACACAUGCUACAAUGGUCGGUACAGUGGGUUGCCAGUCCGUGAGGGCGAGCUAAUCCCGCAAAGCCGGUCUCAGUUCGGAUCGGGGUCUGCAACUCGACCCCGUGAAGUCGGAGUCGCUAGUAAUCGCAGAUCAGCAACGCUGCGGUGAAUACGUUCCCGGGCCU